GACGAACGCUGGCGGCGUGCUUAACACAUGCAAGUCGAACGGAAAGGCCCUGCUUUUGUGGGGUGCUCGAGUGGCGAACGGGUGAGUAACACGUGAGUAACCUGCCCUUGACUUUGGGAUAACUUCAGGAAACUGGGGCUAAUACCGGAUAGGAGCUCCUGCUGCAUGGUGGGGGUUGGAAAGUUUCGGCGGUUGGGGAUGGACUCGCGGCUUAUCAGCUUGUUGGUGGGGUAGUGGCUUACCAAGGCUUUGACGGGUAGCCGGCCUGAGAGGGUGACCGGCCACAUGGGGACUGAGAUAGGGCGCAGACUCCUACGGGAGGCAGCAGUGGGGAAUAUUGCACAAUGGGCGGAAGCCUGAUGCAGAAACGCCGCGUGCGGGAUGACGGCCUUCGGGUUGUAAACCGCUUUCGCCUGUGACGAAGCGUGAGUGACGGUAAUGGGUAAAGAAGCACCGGCUAACUACGUG
This 468-nucleotide ribosomal RNA is filed under the name uncultured bacterium. RNAcentral describes it as "partial 16S ribosomal RNA". It matches the Rfam family "Bacterial small subunit ribosomal RNA", at positions 28 to 507 of the family's 1533-position model. The record is from RNAcentral.